This is an RNA transcript of Oncorhynchus kisutch (coho salmon), 6831 nucleotides long. It is a transcript of the gene named zinc finger protein OZF-like, with no coding region annotated. The record is from RefSeq and is a predicted model, not a curated record. NCBI's taxonomy places the organism in Eukaryota, Metazoa, Chordata, Actinopteri, Salmoniformes, Salmonidae. The transcript is spliced from 4 exons.
UCUGAAAUCUCGCGUUGUUACGUCUCUGGGUUGAGAAACUGGUAGUGGGGGAACAGGAAGUUCCGCGCAGGCGCGCAUUGUUCUUCACAAUAAAGGACACGGCAGAAUUGUGCAGUCGAGACGACAACUUCUGUGUCCGUUUCAAAUAUAUUACUACUGACUGACUCAGAUUAAGUCUGAGGCCGGUAACAUCAACAGUGAAGACAAACCCAGCCUGCCACUCUCCUUCCACACUGUGUCCAAACCUACAGUCACUGAGUCCUGAUUGUGACAGUAGAGCCCAGUUUGCACUGCAGGAUCCAGAGAUGGCAUCAGUGAAGCUGGAAGACUGCAGUCAAACACUGGAGCUGAAUGUCAACAUUAAAGAUGAAGAAGAGGAGGGGAAUAUUGGGACAUCUGUUAGUCAUGACUCAGGUAUGAGGUUGGUAACAUCAACAGUGAGGACAAACCCAGCCUGCCUCUCUCCUUCCACACUGAGUCCAAACCUACAGUCACUGGGUCCUGAUUGUGACAGUGGAGCCCAGUUUUCACUGCAGGAUCCAGAGAUGGCAUCAGUGAAGCUGGAAGACUGCAGUCAAACAAUGGAGCUGAAUGUCAACAUUAAAGAUGAAGAAGAGGAGGAGAAUAUUGGGACAUCUGUUAGUCAUGGUAAGAGCAGGUUCUAUCUGACUAAGUUUGUUGUUCAUUCCAACUUCCCACUGUGUAUGAAAAGUUGCAGUAGAACUGAUGACCAAAAUGACAGGCUACUUUGACAAACGGAGAAUCUGAGGUCAAUAUAAACGACCGUGUCUCUAAUCCAUCAAUAGCCUAGGCCAGGUGUGAGGAGAAACACAUUGUACAAUAUGAGGAGGAAGUUAUAGUCCUAAACAAGCUUUCCAGUUUCACUGACUCACCCAAUGAUGUGCAGCUCACUCACCGAACAAAAGCUUAUCUCUCUUGCUUUACCUUGUAAAAACAAUGCUGUUUGAUCAAUAGGCCUAUGUUUUCCAGCGAUUGGAUUAGAAAUAUUGCUAAAGGCCUGUUUUGGCUGCAUGUUGUUCACUGACAGAUUUGCCACAUGUUCCUGACGGUAGACAUGCCUUGUGAUUUUGGCUACCCACAAUCCACAGCUGGGCUAUUUUAAAUUAGCUAUUGAUCCUCUGUAACUAAAUACUCCUGGUGUUGUAUUGGGAAUGAUUUCAUUUCUUUCUGAACAGACUGCAGAGUCCUGCAGCACCUCAACACACUUCCCACAGCUAUUAUUCUAUCAGGAAAUAAAUGAAGAAGUGCAAUGCUGGAGAGAUGAGUUGUCGGCUCAUGUCUAUAACAGCACAGAGAGGGAGAGAGAUCAUAGAAAGUGAAUCUCAUUUUAGUUCUAUGAGAGAUACAGGCGUGCUUCUCUCUCACCACAGGAAUGGCCACGCCUUGGUCUAAAUAGGCUACAAUGUUGCAGAAACCAUAAACCUGGUUCGGCCCAACAUUAAUACAUUCUUAUAACAUCAGGCACGUUUUUUAUGGGGCAUGAUAAUUACAGAGGAAUCCAAAUGUAAUUACUCUUGAUUGCUUUUAUGCAGAUUUUUGCGUGAUGAAAUACUUUUUCAUGUCACAAGAGGUAGGCUACCUGAUCCUGGCAAAUGGAUUCCGGAACGAAAGACUACAAAACUGAGAGGUGCCGGAAGAUCUGGCUCAAAUUAAGCACCACCGUUCUCAUAUAAUGAGGUAGGGCCAUCCCAAGGAUCCCUGAAUGCAACGACGGUUGCACCAAACCAAGAUGGAAACAACUGGCUGUGGUCUAAUGGGAACAGAUGAGUCAUAGUGGGCAGAGCCAAGCAUGAGCUAGUACUAAAUGUGGGAAAUCUACUAUAGAUUCACUUACGUUGCGUAGCCUAAUUUAUAGCGUGUACUUUGUCUAAUGUGAGUUAAUUAAUGUUUUGUUGUCAAUGCUUAGCUACCAGAUCUAUUGAACUGAGAUCAGUCCUCAGCUCACCGGAGCUGAGUAUCGGCACCUAUUUCAGUCCAAGCACUGAAUUAGAUAAUUGAACAAAAAUAAAUAUUAUAUUUUUAUAUAUAUAUUUUUUUAAAUAAGCAAGUGCCAGAACUGUCAAGACUAACUUUUUUUCUUAUCUUUUUUUUCUGUUUCUCAUUGUUACUACAUACAGGACGACUAGAAUUAAGUCUGAGGCCGGUAACAUCAAUAGUGAGGACAAACCCAGCCUGCCUCUCUCCUUCCACACUGAGUCCAAACCUACAGUCACUGAGUCCUGAUUGUGACAGUGGAGCCCAGUUUGCACUGCAGGAUCCAGAGAUGGCAUCAUUGAAGCUGGAAGACUGCAGUCAAACACUUGAGCUGAAUGUCAACAUUAAAGAUGAAGAAGAGGAGGAGAAGAUUGGGAAAUCUGUUUCUCAUGGAGACCAUGUUGAGACAUUCUCUACAUCUAGAGAGCAACAGCAGGAAGAUCACAGAGCUAAGAGGUCUCACCACUGCCAACAUUGUGAGGAGAUUUUCCCAUUUCUAUCAAAGCUAAAAACACACCUACAAAUACACACUGGAGAGAAUCCCUAUUCCUGUACUGACUGUGGGAAGAGAUUCACAACACCAGGAGCUUUGGCAGUUCAUCAGAGAGUGCACACUGGAGGGAAGCCUUUCUUCUGCUCUGACUGUGGAAAGAGUUUCUCUCUACUGGGCAACUUAAAAACACAUGAACGUAUACAUACAGGAGUGAAGCCUUACUCCUGCUCUGACUGUGGACAGAGUUUCUCUCGACUGGGCCACUUAAAAACACAUGAACGUAGACAUAUUGGAGUGAAGCCAUACUCCUGCUCUGACUGUGUAAAAUGCUUCACAACAUCAGCUCAGCUAAAAGAUCAUCAGAGAACACACACAGGAGAGAAGCCUUUCUUCUGCUCUGACUGUGGAAAUAGUUUCUCUCAACUUUCCCACUUAAAAACACAUGAACGUAUACAUACAGGAUUGAAGCCUUACUCCUGCUCUGACUGUGGAAAGAGUUUCUCUCAAAUGGGCCACUUAAAAAGACAUGAACGUAGACAUAUUGGAGUGAAGCCUUACUGCUGCUCUGACUGUGUAAAAUGCUUCACAACAUCAGCUGAGCUAAAAGAUCAUCAGAGAACACACACAGGAGAGAAGCCUUUCUUCUGCUCUGACUGUGGAAUUAGUUUCUCUCAACUUUCCCACUUAAAAACACAUGAACGUCUACAUACAGGAUUGAAGCUUUACUCCUGCUCUGACUGUGGAAAGAGUUUCUAUCAAAUGGGAAACUUAAAAAGACAUGAACGUAUACAUACAGGAGAGAAGCCUUACUCCUGCUCUGACUGUGGAAAGAGUUUCUCUCUACCAGGCACCUUAAAAACACAUGAACGUAUACAUACAGGAGUGAAGCCUUACUCCUGCUCUGACUGUGUAAAAUUCUUCACAACAUCAGCUGAGCUAAAAGUUCAUCAGAGAACACACACAGGAGAGAAGCCUUACUCCUGCUCUGACUGUGGAAAGAGUUUCUCUAGACUGAGCCACUUAAAAAGACAUGAACGUAGACAUAUUGGAGUAAAGCCUUACUGCUGCUCUGACUGUGUAAAAUGCUUCACAACAUCAGCUGAGCUAAAAGUUCAUCAGAGAACACACACAGGAGAGAAGCCUUACUCCUGCUCUGACUGUGGAAAGCGUUUCUCUCGACUGAGCCACUUAAAAAGACAUGGACGUAUACAUACAGGAGUGAAGCCUUACUCCUGCUCAGACUAUGGAAAGAGGUUCUCUCUACUGGGCAUCUUAAAAAGCCACCAAGGUAAACAAAGUAGAGAAGCCUUGCCACUGAUCUGACUGUAGAGAACACACAAAGAACUGAACCUUACUUCUUCCUUGAGGUUUUUAAGCUAACUAGACUGCACAAUUGUGGUUUUUUUUAUAUUACUAUAUUACAGAUAGCCAGGGGUGCACUCCAACACCAACACCAUUUACAAACAAAGCAUUUGUGUUUAGUGAGUCCGCCAGAUCAGAGGCAGUGGGGAGGACCAGGGAUGUUAUCUUGAUAAGUGUGUGAAUUGGACCAUUUUCUGUCAUGCUAAUCAUUUCAAAAAAUGUAAUGAGUACUUUUGGGUGUCAGGGAAAAUGUUUGGAGUAAAAAGUACAUGAUUUACUUUAGGAUUUUGCAAAAUAAAAGUAAAAGUUGCACAAAAUAUUAAUAGUCAAGUAUAGAUACCCCCCCAAAAGUACUUUACACCCCUUCAUGCCUCCAUGCUGUGUGUCAGCAUUGCAGGCUGGUGGUGUGAUGGUUGGGGUGUGUUUUCAGGGCACACAUUGGGCCUCUUGAUAAAAGCUGAGCAAUGUUUGAAUGCCACAGGAUAUCUAAAGAAUUACUGCCAAUCAGGUGCCUCCCUUCAUGGCAGCAGUGUAUCCAUCUGCAAGUUGUUUUCUUCAGCAGGAUUAUGCCACAAGACUUGUCCAGGAAUGGUUCCAAUAACAUUACACUGAAUUCACUGUAAUUGUGCAUCUGUGGGAGGAGAUGGAACGAGCUAUUCAGAGUAGAUCCACUCCCAGCCAACUUGACACAAUUGUAGGAAGCAUUAGAGUCAACAUGGACCAGCUUCCCUGUGAACUGCACACAACACCUUGGACAGUCUAUGCCCUGACGAUUUUAGGAUGUUCUGAGGAUAAAGGGGGUGCAACUCUAAUAGGAAGGUGUUCCUAAUGUUUUGUACACACUGUGUAUAUCAGAUAAAGAUGGUCUGAUGAUCAGUUUUCAGCUUUAGUUCGGGUGGAUUAUUUUAUAUUACUAAACAACUUUUGUUUAAUGAUAAACAGGCUAUGAAUCGACUACUUGUGUUUAUUAAACUGUAUUUUAAUAUUAGAUUCAUUAUUUUAGUCAUUGAUGAUGAAUGUAUUUGAAUAACUGUAUUGAAGUUAAUUGAUCUGGUGGCAGGUAGCCAGCGGUUAAGAGUGUUGGGCCAGUAACUGAAAGGUUGCUGGUUUGAAUCCCGAGCCGACUAGGUGAAAAAUCUGGCAUUGUACCCUUGAGCAAGCCAUUUAACUAUUAUUUGUCCUGUAAGUCUCUCUGUAUAAAAACAUCUGCUAAAUGACAAGAAUGCAAUGAAAAAUAAUGUUUGUACAUGAAUUCAUGCUGGGCAGCCACUUUUUUUCUCAUGUAUAUAAUUAAAUGAAAUAAACUGAAGUGACAUACUGUAUAUACAAUACACAACAUUACCACUUUGUUUACCCUGGUCAGAGGGACAGGAACAUAGUAAACUAGACUGUGUAACUGCUGUUGUUAGUAGCCUACAGUUUCCAUGUAAUACAGCAUGUCAGAUCACUAAUGAUUAGGUGUAUAGACUGCUACAUUUAUGCAAGAGUUUUUGCUUGUGUCUAUCGGGAGAGAUGUGUUAUCAGCUUGUUAAAUAACUAAUGGUGGGAAGUGGAGAGGCGUCUCUAACUAAAUGUAGCUCCAAAGGAACUCUAAUUAAAGGAAUAGUUCAAUCAAAUUACAAAUGUCCACCUUGGUUUCAUCACCCUGUAAACAAUCCAAAUAAUGUGCACUUCAGCAGUGAAGUUCUGUAGAUGGAGGACUUUCAGUACAGCAGUGUUCCCCAAUCCUGGUCCCAAAGGGGUGUACAUGUGUGUUUUUGCCCUCACACUCACAUACCUUAUUCAAUUCAAAGGCUUGAGUUGUUUAGUUGAAUCCAGUGUGUGAGUGUUAGGGGCAAAAACAAAAAAGCAUUCCCCUUUGUGUCCCCUGGACCAGGAUUGGGAAACACUGCAGUACACAGCAAAAAGUGUGAUGAUUCAAAAUAUUAUAUCUAUUUUACAGUUUGAAGUCCUGUAUGUAAAAUGACUUGGUUUGUAUUCAGGGGAUGAGGUAUGUAUUCAAGUGUGUGCUCAAGAUUUGUGGUGUUUACUCAGGAGAUUAAUCUCUGAUUUUGGCAGCGCCAUUCUUACACCUUCGCAGCAUUGCACUGUGGUUCUUCAAUGUUUUCCUGCUGCUGUUCGAACGGAUAAAACAUUUGUGGAUCUUUAGAAAAAUGUCUCCUGUAUCUGUCGUUUCCAUCACGUUGCAAUGAUUGUUUUGCUAAAUGUUUUUGUUUUAGACUUGGCCCAAUGGAGACCUGUCCAGUGAUGCCAUCUCUAGAUCCUGCAGCGCAACAAGUCUCCACUGUCAAUCAGGACCCAGUGACUGUAGGUUUAGAAUCUGUUUGGAAGGCAGUGUGAAAGGAGAGAGGCAGGCUGGGUUUGUCCUCACUGUUAACCUGUCAACUCUGUCUGAGAUCAACCUCCUCCCUUAUGCAGGCCACACCCCCUCCCAUUGUUACUGUGUGUAUGAUCACAUUUUGAACAAUGGCUUCCUAAAAUGCGGUGGUGCUUACUAACCCAAUAGGAAAGGUUCUGGUAGAUGUGGACCAUCACACGUGAGGUCACAGCUCUUUCACUCUAAACAUUCAUAUCAAUGACUCACCCUCAAAUGGACCAUCAAUACCAGAGUUCUCCAAUACUAUUUACAUAAUCAACUGGGCAUUACAACAGUCUGACCCUCAAUAUAGUCCUGGGUAUAUAUUGAGCUCUAACAAUGGGUCAUGGAAAAGGUCUGUUGAAAUGAAUACUGUAGUGAUGUGAGAAAGGUAACACGAGCUUCCUCUCUGGUUCCAUUCCCCCAAUAGUAACUGGGUCAUUAUUGGAUUGUGGUGGUAAUGCUGUCCCUGGACUUUGGCACCAUAAAAAGACUAAUAAUGCAUUACAAUACUAUGCUGACAUAUGAGAUGGUUUUAAGAAGGUCGUACCAUGGAUUGUUUAGAUCAUUUAUUUUGUAUUUUAGGACAUUAGGUAUAAUCAUGAUUAAAAAUGAUUUGAUAAAA